Molecule: long non-coding RNA, 1772 nt
Organism: Oncorhynchus keta (chum salmon)
Lineage: Eukaryota; Metazoa; Chordata; Actinopteri; Salmoniformes; Salmonidae
Exons: 2
Source: RefSeq, a predicted model, not a curated record
AGCAGGUGUGUUAUCUUGUUAUUAUAGAACAGGUGUGUUAUCUUGUUAUUAUAGAGCAGGUGUGUUAUCUUGUUAUUAUAGAACAGGUGUGUUAUCUUGUUAUUAUAGAACAGGUGUGUUAUCUUGUUAUUAUAGAACAGGUGUGUUAUCUUGUUAUUAUAGAGCAGGUGUGUUAUCUUGUUAUUAUAGAGCAGGUGUGUUAUCUUGUAGGCGGAAAGUAGGAACAGAGAGACAUGAUCUGAUUUGCCCGAAGUGGGGACAAGGAAUGACUGUGUACCCAUCACAGAUAUUUGUAUAUAUACUGAACAAAAAUAUAAACACAACAUGCAACAAUUUUAAAGAUUUUACUGAGUUACAGUUCACAUAAGGAAAUCGGUCAAUUAAAUUAAAUUCAUUAGGCUCUAAUCUAUGGAUUUCACAUUACUGGGCAGGGGUGCAGCCAUGGGUGGGCCUGGGAGGGCAUAGGCCCACCCACUUGGCAGCCAAGCCCACCCACUGGGGAGCCAGGCCCAGCCAAUCAGAAUUAGUUUUCCCCCCACAAAGGGGCUUUAUUAUUAAAUACUCCUCAGCACCCCGUUUGAGGUCAUUUGGACAUACUGCCAAAUUCUCUAAAAUGACGUUGGAGGCGGUUUAUGGUAGAGAAAUGAACAUUGAAUUAUCUGGCAACAGCUCUGCUGGACAUUCUUGCAGUAAGCAUGCUCCCUCAAAACUUGAGACAUCUGUGGCAUUGUGUUGUGUGAGAAAACUGCACAUUUUAGAGUGCCAUUUUAUUGUCCACAGCACAAGGUGCAAUUGUGUCAUGAUCGUGCUGUUUAAUCAGCUUCUUGAUAUGCCCCACCUGUCAGGUGGAUGGAUUUUCUUGGCAAAGGAGAAAUACUCGCUAACAGGAAUGUAAACAAUUGUGUGCACAUCAUUUGAGAGUAAUUAGCUUUUUGUGCAUAUGGAACAUUUCUGGGAAUUUGUUUUUCAUCUCAUGAAACAUGGGACGAACACUUACAUGUUGCAUUUAUAUUUUUGUUCAGUGUACAUAGUCCAGCAAGUUGUUUCCUUUCGUGUGGCAGGAUACAUGUUGGUGAUAUAUUGGAAAAAUGUGUUUUAAACGUGCGUAACGCGUAAAAUCACCUGCAAAUUAAGACUGCUUCCGGGUGAGAGGAUUCUUGCUGGCUAAAGUUAUUUUACAGUUCGCUGAGGGCCGCCUUGGUGUUUGCUCGUGGUGGUAUGUACACAGCUGUGAUAAGAACACACAUGAAUUCCCUCUGCAUAUGGUGGGGUUGGCAUUUUAGCAUCAGAAACUCCAGGUCAGGUGAACAGGAGCUCAACAUCUACUGGAUGUCAUAAGGUGAAUGCACCAAUUUGUAAGUCGCUCUGGAUAAGAGCGUCUGCUAAAUGACUUAAAUGUAAAUGUAAUAUGUUUUUGUCUUUGUCACGCCUUGGUCUUAGUAUUUUGUGUUUUCUUUCUUUAUUUGGUCAGGCCAGGGUGUGACAUGGGUAAUUGUGGUGUGUUUUUUUGUCUUGGGGUUUUGUGGGGUGACUAAUUAGUCUAUGGCUGCCUGAGGCGGUUCUCAAUCAGUCAGGUGAUUUAUCGUUGUCUCUGAUUGGGAACCAUAUUUAGGCAGCCAUAUUCUGUGAGUGUUUUCGUGGGUGAUUGUUCCUGUCUCUGUGUUAGUUGACACCAGACAGGCUGUAUAGGUUCUCUUUCCGUUUGUUGUUUUGUAUAUAUAUAGUUAUUUCAUGUAUCGUUCUAUUUCAUUAAAAAACAUGAGUAACCACCA